GCAUCGGUGGUUCAGUGGUAAAAUGCUCGUCUGCCACGCGGGCGCCCCGAGUUUGAUUCCCGGCCGACGCA
Molecule: transfer RNA, 71 nt
Filed under: Dreissena polymorpha
Lineage: Eukaryota; Metazoa; Mollusca; Bivalvia; Myida; Dreissenidae
Rfam family: tRNA
About the family: Transfer RNA (tRNA) molecules are approximately 80 nucleotides in length. Their secondary structure includes four short double-helical elements and three loops (D, anti-codon, and T loops). Further hydrogen bonds mediate the characteristic L-shaped molecular structure. tRNAs have two regions of fundamental functional importance: the anti-codon, which is responsible for specific mRNA codon recognition, and the 3' end, to which the tRNAs corresponding amino acid is attached (by aminoacyl-tRNA synthetases). tRNAs cope with the degeneracy of the genetic code in two manners: having more than one tRNA (with a specific anti-codon) for a particular amino acid; and 'wobble' base-pairing, i.e. permitting non-standard base-pairing at the 3rd anti-codon position.
Source: Rfam by way of RNAcentral